UACGUAGGGUGCGAGCGUUAAUCGGAAUUACUGGGCGUAAAGCGUGCGCAGGCGGUUUUGCAAGCCAGAUGUGAAAUCCCCGGGCUUAACCUGGGAAUGGCAUUUGGGACUGCAAGGCUGGAGUGCGGCAGAGGAGACUGGAAUUCCUGGUGUAGCAGUGAAAUGCGUAGAGAUCGUAAGGAAGACCAGUGGCGAAGGCGGGUCUCUGGACAGUUCCUGACACUGAGGCACGAAGGCCAGGGGAGCAAACGGG
RNAcentral lists this ribosomal RNA (253 nucleotides) under uncultured bacterium. RNAcentral's name for it is "partial 16S ribosomal RNA". It matches the Rfam family "Bacterial small subunit ribosomal RNA", at positions 524 to 776 of the family's 1533-position model. The record is from RNAcentral.